UAAUACGGAGGGGGCUAGCGUUGUUCGGAAUUAUUGGGCGUAAAGGGCGCGUAGGCGGCCACGUAAGUCGGGCGUGAAAUCCCUUGGCUCAACCAAGGAACUGCGUCCGAAACUGCGUGGCUCGAGUCCGGGAGAGGGUAGCGGAAUUCCCAGUGUAGCGGUGAAAUGCGUAGAUAUUGGGAGGAACACCGGCGGCGAAGGCGGCUACCUGGACCGGUACUGACGCUGAGGCGCGAAAGCUAGGGGAGCAAACAGGAUUAGAUACCCUGGUAGUCCUAGCUGUAAACGAUGAGCACUUGGUGUAGCGGGUAUUGACCCCUGCUGUGCCGAAGCUAACGCAUUAAGUGCUCCGCCUGGGGAGUACGGUCGCAAGGCUG
RNAcentral lists this ribosomal RNA (377 nucleotides) under uncultured Anaerolineae bacterium. RNAcentral's name for it is "bacterial SSU rRNA". It matches the Rfam family "Bacterial small subunit ribosomal RNA", at positions 521 to 896 of the family's 1533-position model. The record is from RNAcentral. Lineage: Bacteria; Bacillati; Chloroflexota; Anaerolineae.